AGACCCGAAACCCGGUGAUCUAGCCAUGGGCAGGUUGAAGGUUGGGUAACACUAACUGGAGGACCGAACCGACUAAUGUUGAAAAAUUAGCGGAUGACCUGUGGCUGGGGGUGAAAGGCCAAUCAAACCGGGAGAUAGCUGGUUCUCCCCGAAAGCUAUUUAGGUAGCGCCUCGUGAAUUCAUCUCCGGGGGUAGAGCACUGUUUCGGCUAGGGGGCCAUCCCGGCUUACCAACCCGAUGCAAACUGCGAAUACCGGAGAAUGUUAUCACGGGAGACACACGGCGGGUGCUAACGUCCGUCGUGAAGAGGGAAACAACCCAGACCGCCAGCUAAGGUCCCAAAGUCAUGGUUAAGUGGGAAACGAUGUGGGAAGGCCCAGACAGCCAGGAUGUUGGCUUAGAAGCAGCCAUCAUUUAAAGAAAGCGUAAUAGCUCACUGGUCGAGUCGGCCUGCGCGGAAGAUGUAACGGGGCUAAACCAUGCACCGAAGCUGCGGCAGCGAACGUAUCACCCAAGACAACUUUACGGAGUUGACGAUUGACGGAGCGAAGCGACGUCAAAGCGUUCAUUAAAGUCGAGUUGGCUUAGGGAUACGUUCGUUGGGUAGGGGAGCGUUCUGUAAGCCUGUGAAGGUGUGUCGUGAGGCAUGCUGGAGGUAUCAGAAGUGCGAAUGCUGACAUAAGUAACGAUAAAGCGGGUGAAAAGCCCGCUCGCCGGAAGACCAAGGGUUCCUGUCCAACGUUAAUCGGGGCAGGGUGAGUCGACC
RNAcentral lists this ribosomal RNA (766 nucleotides) under Salmonella enterica. Its description in RNAcentral is "partial 23S ribosomal RNA". It matches the Rfam family "Bacterial large subunit ribosomal RNA", at positions 711 to 1389 of the family's 2925-position model. The record is from RNAcentral. Lineage: Bacteria; Pseudomonadati; Pseudomonadota; Gammaproteobacteria; Enterobacterales; Enterobacteriaceae.